UACGUAGGAGGCGAGCGUUGUCCGGAGUUACUGGGCGUAAAGGGUGCGCAGGCGGUGGUGCGCGUGGAUAGGUGAAAUCUCCUGGCUUACCUGGGAGGAUGGUAUCCAGACGGCAUCACUUGAGGGUCGGAGAGGGGCGUGGAAUUCCGGGUGGAGCGGUGAAAUGCGUAGAGAUCCGGAGGAACACCGACGGCGUAGGCAGCGCCCUGGACGACACCUGACGCUGAGGCACGAAAGCUGGGGGAGCGAACAGG
RNAcentral lists this ribosomal RNA (254 nucleotides) under uncultured bacterium. RNAcentral's name for it is "partial 16S ribosomal RNA". It matches the Rfam family "Bacterial small subunit ribosomal RNA", at positions 524 to 776 of the family's 1533-position model. The record is from RNAcentral.